UGGGGAAUAUUGGACAAUGGGCGAAAGCCUGAUCCAGCCAUGCCGCGUGUGUGAAGAAGGCCUUUUGGUUGUAAAGCACUUUAAGCGAGGAGGAGGCUACUUAGAUUAAUACUCUAGGAUAGUGGACGUUACUCGCAGAAUAAGCACCGGCUAACUCUGUGCCAGCAGUCGCGGUAAUACAGAGGGUGCGAGCGUUAAUCGGAUUUACUGGGCGUAAAGCGUGCGUAGGCGGCUUUUUAAGUCGGAUGUGAAAUCCCUGAGCUUAACUUAGGAAUUGCAUUCGAUACUGGGACGCUAGAGUAUGGUAGAGGAUGGUAGAAUUCCAGGUGUAGCGGUGAAAUGCGUAGAGAUCUGGAGGAAUACCGAUGGCGAAGGCAGCCAUCUGGCCUAAUACUGACGCUGAGGUACGAAAGCAUGGGGAGCAAACAGG
This 430-nucleotide ribosomal RNA is filed under the name bacterium. RNAcentral's name for it is "partial 16S ribosomal RNA". It matches the Rfam family "Bacterial small subunit ribosomal RNA", at positions 355 to 776 of the family's 1533-position model. The record is from RNAcentral.